Molecule: ribosomal RNA, 247 nt
Filed under: uncultured bacterium
Lineage: Bacteria
Description: partial 16S ribosomal RNA
Rfam family: Bacterial small subunit ribosomal RNA
Source: RNAcentral
AUACGUAGGUGGCAAGCGUUGUCCGGAUUUACUGGGUGUAAAGGGCGUGUAGCCGGGUCGGCAAGUCAGAUGUGAAAUCUGGAGGCUCAACCUCCAAACUGCAUUUGAAACUGCCGGUCUUGAGUAUCGGAGAGGUAAUCGGAAUUCCUUGUGUAGCGGUGAAAUGCGUAGAUAUAAGGAAGAACACCAGUGGCGAAGGCGGAUUACUGGACGACAACUGACGGUGAGGCGCGAAAGCGUGGGGAGC